This 297-nucleotide ribosomal RNA is filed under the name uncultured bacterium. RNAcentral describes it as "partial 16S ribosomal RNA". It matches the Rfam family "Bacterial small subunit ribosomal RNA", at positions 475 to 776 of the family's 1533-position model. The record is from RNAcentral.
CUAUGCGCCUUGCCAGCCCGCUCAGGUGUGCCAGCCGCCGCGGUAAUACGGAGGGUGCAAGCGUUAAUCGGAAUUACUGGCGUAAAGCGCACGCAGGCGGUUUGUUAAGUCAGAUGUGAAAUCCCCGGGCUCAACCUGGGAACUGCAUCUGAUACUGGCAAGCUUGAGUCUCGUAGAGGGGGGUAGAAUUCCAGGUGUAGCGGUGAAAUGCGUAGAGAUCUGGAGGAAUACCGGUGGCGAAGGCGGCCCCCUGGACGAAGACUGACGCUCAGGUGUGAAAGCGUGGGAGCAAACAGG